GAUAAACGCUGACAGAAUGCUUAACACAUGCAAGUCGAUGAUGGGAGCUAGCUUGCUAGAAGAAGUCAUGGCGGACGGGUGAGUAACGUGUAAAGAACUUACCAUAUAGACUGGGAUAACAGAGGGAAACUUCUGAUAAUACUGGAUAAGUUAGUAGUAGCAUUACUAAGUAAUGAAAGGUAGCAAUACGCUAUAUGAGAGCUUUGCAUCCUAUUAGCUAGUUGGUGGGGUAAAAGCCUACCAAGGCGAUGAUAGGUAGCCGGCCUGAGAGGGUGGACAGCCAAAAGGGGACUGAGAUACGGCCCUUACUCCUACGGGAGGCAGCAGUGGGGAAUAUUGGACAAUGGAGGCAACUCUGAUCCAGCAAUUCUGUGUGUGUGCAGAAGGUUUUAGGACUGUAAAACACUUUUAGUAGGGAAGAAAGAAAUGACGGUACCUACAGAAGAAGCGACGGCUAAAUACGUG
Molecule: ribosomal RNA, 465 nt
Filed under: uncultured bacterium
Lineage: Bacteria
Description: partial 16S ribosomal RNA
Rfam family: Bacterial small subunit ribosomal RNA
Source: RNAcentral